AAACUUUACAAUGCGGGAAACCGUGAUAAGGGAACCCCGAGUGCCUGUAAUGACAGGCUGUUCAGGUGUUUACAACACAUCUGGAGAAAGGGCCGGGCAAGACCGGUGCCAGCCGCCGCGGUAAUACCGGCGGCUCGAGUGGUGGCCACUAUUACUGGGCUUAAAGCGUCCGUAGCCGGGAUGUUAAGUCUCUUGGGAAAUCUGACGGCUCAACCGUCAGGCGUUCAAGGGAUACUGGCAUUCUAGGGACCGGGGGAGGUGAGAGGUACUUCAGGGGUAGGAGUGAAAUCCUGUAAUCCUUGGGGGACCACCUGUGGCGAAGGCGUCUCACCAGAACGGCUCCGACGGUGAGGGACGAAAGCUGGGGGAGCAAACCGG
RNAcentral lists this ribosomal RNA (378 nucleotides) under uncultured archaeon. RNAcentral describes it as "bacterial SSU rRNA". It matches the Rfam family "Archaeal small subunit ribosomal RNA", at positions 345 to 727 of the family's 1478-position model. The record is from RNAcentral.